CAUCGGUAACUGUGAGUAAAUACACUGAAUAAACCUGAAUGUGUCCGUUGUGAAGUCAACCUAUUGGACCUGAGACGAGACAAAUGGUUAAUGGAAAUGCAGCUACCGUUGACCGACAGUCACCCAGGGCAGCAAUAGAAAUGGGGCGAACAAGCACCAGUUGUGAUCAGACUCACCUGCUGGACUCCUGAAUGAGAGCAAUCGCUAUCAGGAUUCUGGUUCUGAGGAAGAUGAGGGUGAGAAGGAUGAUGGCCUCCACCACACAGAGGAUUAUCACUGAGGGUCAGAGA
This is a long non-coding RNA of Gambusia affinis (western mosquitofish), 290 nucleotides long. RefSeq lists it as uncharacterized. The record is from RefSeq and is a predicted model, not a curated record. NCBI's taxonomy places the organism in Eukaryota, Metazoa, Chordata, Actinopteri, Cyprinodontiformes, Poeciliidae. The transcript has 3 exons.